Molecule: non-coding RNA, 723 nt
Organism: Pelobates cultripes (western spadefoot toad)
Lineage: Eukaryota; Metazoa; Chordata; Amphibia; Anura; Pelobatidae
Source: the annotation of a GenBank genome assembly
GGGACAUAGUGAGACAAGAUGGAGAGACAUAGUGAGACAAGAUGGAAGGACAUAGUGAGACAAGAUGGAGGGACAUAGUUAGACAUGAUGGAAGGACAUAGUGAGACAAGAUGGAGGGACAUAGUGAGCCAAGAUGGAGGGACAUAGUGAGACAAGAUAGAGAGACAUAUUGAGACAAGGUGGAGGGACAUAGUGAGACAAGAUGGAAAGACAUAGUGAGACAAGAUGGCGGGACAUAGUGAGACAAGAUGGAGAGACAUAGUGAGACAAGAUGAAGAGACAUAUUGAGACAAGAUGGAGGGACAUAGUGAGACAAGAUGGAGAGACAUAUUGAGACAAGAUGGAAGGACAUAGUGAGUCAGGUUGGAGGGACAUAGUGAGACAAGAUGGAAGGACAUAGUGAGACAAGAUGGAGGGACAUAGUGAGACAAGAUGGAAGGACAUAGUGAGACAAGAUGGAGGGACAUAGUGAGACAAGGUGGAGGGACAUAUUGAGACAAGGUGGAGGGACAUAGUGAGACAAGAUGGAGAGACAUAUUGAGACAAGAUGGAAGGACAUAGUGAGUCAGGUUGGAGGGACAUAGUGAGACAAGAUGGAAGGACAUAGUGAGACAAGAUGGAGGGACAUAGUGAGACAAGAUGGAAGGACAUAGUGAGACAAGAUGGAGGGACAUAGUGAGACAAGGUGGAGGGACAUAGUGAGACAAGAUGGAGAGACAUAGU